UUUUUUAUAAAAGUAAUUUAUUUAUUUGAGGUUUUAGUAUUUAGUAAAAAUUAAUUUAUAGAUUUAUAGUUUAAUAGUAUUGUAAAAGAAUUAAUUAAAUUUUAAUAAGAAUAUUUUUAGUACCUUUUGUAUCAGGGUUAAUUAAAAUUUUUAAUUUUUUUUUAAUUUCUCAAAAUUUAUAGAGUUAAUUUUAUUAUUAAUUUAUUGUGUUAUAAAUAUUUAUAAAAUAAUAUUAGUUUUGAAAUUUAAUUCGUUAUAUUAUAUUUAGUUAUUUAAGAUUUAAAUUUAAUUUAAAAUUUUAAAAGUUAUUUUGAUUUUAUAUAUUAAUAUUUUAAAUUUAAAUUAUUUUAGGGAUAAGCUUAAAAUUUUUAUAUAAUAAUUUAUUUAUUUUAAUAAUUUAUAGGAAUAGAAAUUUUUAUUUUAAGUUUGUAAAAAUUUAUUAUUUAUUUAUUUUUAAUUUAUUAUAAAUUUAUUUAUUUUUUUUAUUAAAUUUUAUUAAUUAAUAUUUAAUUUUUAGUAAUAAUGAUUAAAUUAGUAUAAUUGAUAUUUAUAAAUUAUGAAUUCGGCAAAAAUUAUUUUCAUCUGUUUAACAAAAACAUUGUAUUAAGUUUAAUUUAAUAUAGGAUCUGCUCAAUGAUUUAUUAAAUAGCUGCAGUAUUUUGACUGUGCAAAGGUAGCAUAAUAAUUAGUCUUUUAAUUGAGGACUUGUAUGAAAGAUUUGAUGAGAAAUAAACUUUAUUAUUUAUAUAAUUAAAAUUUUAUUUUUAAGUAAAAAAGCUUAAAUUAUUUAAAGGGACGAUAAGACCCUAUAAAACUUUAUAAAUGUUAAUUUUAAUUUUUUUGGAUUUAUAAAUAUUUUAAUUUUAUUAUUUAUUUUAUUGGGGUGAUAAAAAAAAUUUUUAAACUUUUUUUAAAGUUUUACCUUAUUUAAAGAAUAUUUGAAUUAAAAUUUUUAAUUAAAGGAAAAAGUUACCUUAGGGAUAACAGCGUAAUUAAUUUUUUAAGUUCAAAUUUGAAAAUUAGUUUGCGACCUCGAUGUUGAUUUGUCAAUAAUCUUAGGUGCAAAAUUUUAAGUAUUAGGUCUG
This 1085-nucleotide ribosomal RNA is filed under the name Macrosiphum mordvilkoi. Its description in RNAcentral is "partial 16S ribosomal RNA". Lineage: Eukaryota; Metazoa; Arthropoda; Insecta; Hemiptera; Aphididae. The record is from RNAcentral.